GACCCCAUCGUCUAGUCAGGUUAGGACAUCAGCUUUUCAAGCUGAGAGCCGGGGUUCAAAUCCCCGUGGGGUCG
RNAcentral lists this transfer RNA (74 nucleotides) under Candidatus Omnitrophota bacterium. RNAcentral describes it as "tRNA-Glu". It matches the Rfam family "tRNA". Rfam says of the family: Transfer RNA (tRNA) molecules are approximately 80 nucleotides in length. Their secondary structure includes four short double-helical elements and three loops (D, anti-codon, and T loops). Further hydrogen bonds mediate the characteristic L-shaped molecular structure. tRNAs have two regions of fundamental functional importance: the anti-codon, which is responsible for specific mRNA codon recognition, and the 3' end, to which the tRNAs corresponding amino acid is attached (by aminoacyl-tRNA synthetases). tRNAs cope with the degeneracy of the genetic code in two manners: having more than one tRNA (with a specific anti-codon) for a particular amino acid; and 'wobble' base-pairing, i.e. permitting non-standard base-pairing at the 3rd anti-codon position. RNAcentral also lists the same sequence under 1 other name. Lineage: Bacteria; Pseudomonadati; Candidatus Omnitrophota. The record is from RNAcentral.